Molecule: microRNA precursor, 99 nt
Filed under: Capitella teleta
Lineage: Eukaryota; Metazoa; Annelida; Polychaeta; Capitellidae
Description: microRNA mir-252
Rfam family: mir-252 microRNA precursor family (bases 13-88)
Source: RNAcentral
AUGCUCGCUCAUUGCCAAUGCUAAGUACUAGUGCCGCAGGAGGUUCCUUGUUCAACCCCUCCUGCUGUUCGAGUGCUUAAUAUCACAUUUGAGCAUUUC